UACGUAGGGGGGCUAGCGUUGUCCGGAUUUAUUGGGCGUAAAGAGCGUGUAGGCGGCCAGGUAGGUCCGGUGUGAAAACUCGAGGCUCAACCUCGAGACGCCGGUGGAAACCGUAAAGCUAGAGUCCGGAAGAGGAGAGUGGAAUUCCUGGUGUAGCGGUGAAAUGCGCAGAUAUCGGGAGGAACACCGGUGGCGAAGGCGGGUCUCUGGGGCCGAUACUGACGCUGAGGAGCGAAAGCGUGGGGAGCGAAGCAGG
Molecule: ribosomal RNA, 256 nt
Filed under: uncultured bacterium
Lineage: Bacteria
Description: partial 16S ribosomal RNA
Rfam family: Bacterial small subunit ribosomal RNA
Source: RNAcentral